RNAcentral lists this ribosomal RNA (464 nucleotides) under Vreelandella stevensii. RNAcentral's name for it is "partial 16S ribosomal RNA". It matches the Rfam family "Bacterial small subunit ribosomal RNA", at positions 338 to 795 of the family's 1533-position model. The record is from RNAcentral. Lineage: Bacteria; Pseudomonadati; Pseudomonadota; Gammaproteobacteria; Oceanospirillales; Halomonadaceae.
CCUACGGGGGGCAGCAGUGGGGAAUAUUGGACAAUGGGCGAAAGCCUGAUCCAGCCAUGCCGCGUGUGUGAAGAAGGCCUUCGGGUUGUAAAGCACUUUCAGUGGGGAAGAAAGCCUUGGGGCUAAUACCCUCGAGGAAGGACAUCACCCACAGAAGAAGCACCGGCUAACUCCGUGCCAGCAGCCGCGGUAAUACGGAGGGUGCGAGCGUUAAUCGGAAUUACUGGGCGUAAAGCGCGCGUAGGCGGUCUGAUAAGCCGGUUGUGAAAGCCCCGGGCUCAACCUGGGAACGGCAUCCGGAACUGUCAGGCUAGAGUGCAGGAGAGGAAGGUAGAAUUCCCGGUGUAGCGGUGAAAUGCGUAGAGAUCGGGAGGAAUACCAGUGGCGAAGGCGGCCUUCUGGACUGACACUGACGCUGAGGUGCGAAAGCGUGGGUAGCAAACAGGAUUAGAUACCCGUGAGUC